RNAcentral lists this transfer RNA (73 nucleotides) under Methanobacteriota archaeon. RNAcentral's name for it is "Euryarchaeota archaeon tRNA-Gln". It matches the Rfam family "tRNA". From Rfam's summary of the family: Transfer RNA (tRNA) molecules are approximately 80 nucleotides in length. Lineage: Archaea; Methanobacteriati; Methanobacteriota. The record is from RNAcentral.
AGCCCCUUAGUGUAGCGGUCCAUCAUACGAGGUUCUGGUCCUCGUGACCUCGGUUCAAAUCCGAGAGGGGCUA